This 800-nucleotide ribosomal RNA is filed under the name Bacillus tequilensis. Its description in RNAcentral is "bacterial SSU rRNA". It matches the Rfam family "Bacterial small subunit ribosomal RNA", at positions 35 to 816 of the family's 1533-position model. Lineage: Bacteria; Bacillati; Bacillota; Bacilli; Caryophanales; Bacillaceae. The record is from RNAcentral.
GGUGGGGGGGGGUGCUAAUACAUGCAAGUCGAGCGGACAGAUGGGAGCUUGCUCCCUGAUGUUAGCGGCGGACGGGUGAGUAACACGUGGGUAACCUGCCUGUAAGACUGGGAUAACUCCGGGAAACCGGGGCUAAUACCGGAUGGUUGUUUGAACCGCAUGGUUCAAACAUAAAAGGUGGCUUCGGCUACCACUUACAGAUGGACCCGCGGCGCAUUAGCUAGUUGGUGAGGUAACGGCUCACCAAGGCAACGAUGCGUAGCCGACCUGAGAGGGUGAUCGGCCACACUGGGACUGAGACACGGCCCAGACUCCUACGGGAGGCAGCAGUAGGGAAUCUUCCGCAAUGGACGAAAGUCUGACGGAGCAACGCCGCGUGAGUGAUGAAGGUUUUCGGAUCGUAAAGCUCUGUUGUUAGGGAAGAACAAGUACCGUUCGAAUAGGGCGGUACCUUGACGGUACCUAACCAGAAAGCCACGGCUAACUACGUGCCAGCAGCCGCGGUAAUACGUAGGUGGCAAGCGUUGUCCGGAAUUAUUGGGCGUAAAGGGCUCGCAGGCGGUUUCUUAAGUCUGAUGUGAAAGCCCCCGGCUCAACCGGGGAGGGUCAUUGGAAACUGGGGAACUUGAGUGCAGAAGAGGAGAGUGGAAUUCCACGUGUAGCGGUGAAAUGCGUAGAGAUGUGGAGGAACACCAGUGGCGAAGGCGACUCUCUGGUCUGUAACUGACGCUGAGGAGCGAAAGCGUGGGGAGCGAACAGGAUUAGAUACCCUGGUAGUCCACGCCGUAAACGAUGAGUGC